Molecule: ribosomal RNA, 425 nt
Filed under: uncultured bacterium
Lineage: Bacteria
Description: partial 16S ribosomal RNA
Rfam family: Bacterial small subunit ribosomal RNA
Source: RNAcentral
GUGGGGAAUCUUGCGCAAUGGGCGAAAGCCUGACGCAGCCAUGCCGCGUGAAUGAUGAAGGUCUUAGGAUUGUAAAAUUCUUUCACCGGGGACGAUAAUGACGGUACCCGGAGAAGAAGCUCCGGCUAACUUCGUGCCAGCAGCCGCGGUAAUACGUAGGGGGCUAGCGUUGCUCGGAAUUACUGGGCGUAAAGGGCGCGUAGGCGGACAGCUUAGUCAGAGGUGAAAGCCCAGGGCUCAACCUUGGAAUUGCUUUUGAUACUGGCUGUCUUGAGUACGGGAGAGGUGAGUGGAACUCCGAGUGUAGAGGUGAAAUUCGUAGAUAUUCGGAAGAACACCAGUGGCGAAGGCGACUCACUGGCCCGUUACUGACGCUGAGGCGCGAAAGCGUGGGGAGCAAACAGGAUUAGAUACCCUGGUAGUCC